Molecule: small RNA, 1503 nt
Filed under: Pongo abelii (Sumatran orangutan)
Lineage: Eukaryota; Metazoa; Chordata; Mammalia; Primates; Hominidae
Description: retained intron
Source: RNAcentral
GUGUUCGGCCAAGAACCUGAGAAACAUCUCAGAGCUGUUCUACUACGCCCAGAAGGCUGUCCUGCACCCCACAGCCCCUCUCUAUGACCCUGAGGCCAAGCAGGCACUGACGCGCAUCUUCAGGCUCUCAGAUCAGGACCUGGACCAGGCGCUCAGUGACGAAGAGCUCAACGCUUUCCAGAAAUCCUGCUUUGGGCACCCCCUGGCCCCACAGGCCCUGGAGGACGUGAAGACGGUGGUGUGCAGGAACGUGGCGGGCGGCGUGUGGGAGGACCGACUGACCCUGGAUGCGCGGGCGGCACGAGACCACGUGGACCAUCCUGCGGCGCUUCGGCUACAGCGAUGCACUGGAGCUGACAGCCGACUAUCUCUUCCCUCCGCUCCACGUGCCCCCCGGCUGCAGCACUGAGCUCAACCACCUUGGCUACCAGUUUGUGCAAAGAGUAUUUGAGAAGCACGACCAGGUGAGAGCAUGGCGACUCCCCUGCCCCUGCCCCCGCCCCCUCCCCGGCACACACAUCACCGCAUCCCUCCUUCUGCAGGACCGAGACGGCGCCCUCUCGCCUGUGGAGCUGCAAAGCCUCUUCAGUGUGUUCCCAGCAGCCCCCUGGGGCCCCGAGCUCCCACGCACAGUCCGCACAGAGGCCGGCCGGUUGCCCCUGCACGGAUACCUCUGCCAGUGGACGUAAGUGCGGCCCACACCAUGCCCGCCCGCCGCACCACCCUUGCCACCGUAACACUGUGCCUCCCGCCCACCCCCAGCCUGGUGACCUACCUGGACGUCCGGAGCUGCCUUGGGCACCUAGGCUACCUGGGCUACCCCACCCUUUGUGAGCAGGACUCCCAGGCCCAUGCCAUCACAGGUAGGUACCCACCCUCUCUGGGCCUGGGCCCAGCAUCCUGGCAGCCGCCCUAACCCGUGUCUAUCCUCACAGUCACCCGUGAGAAGAGGCUGGACCAGGAGAAGGGACAGACGCAGCGGAGCGUCCUCCUGUGCAAGGUGGUGGGGGCCCGUGGAGUGGGCAAGUCUGCCUUCCUGCAGGCCUUCCUCGGCCGCGGCCUGGAGGUAAGCACCCUAGACUCCCCCACCACCCCAGGGGCUCCAGGAGCAGGGCAGGGCAAUCUGGGGGGCACUGGAGCCAGCGAGUGUCAGGACUUCACCUCCCUUAGCACCAGGACACGAGGGAGCAGCCUCCCGGCUAUGCCAUCGACACAGUGCAGGUCAACGGGCAGGAGAAGUACUUGAUCCUCUGUGAGGUGGGCACAGAUGGUCUGCUGGCCACAUCGCUGGACGCCGCCUGUGACGUUGCCUGCUUGAUGUUUGAUGGCAGUGACCCAAAGUCCUUUGCACAUUGUGCCAGCGUCUACAAGCACCAUUACAUGGACGGGCAGACCCCCUGCCUCUUCGUCUCCUCCAAGGCCGACCUGCCCGAAGGUGUCGCGGUGUCUGGCCCAUCGCCAGCCGAGUUUUGCCGCAAGCACCGGCUACCCGCUCCCAUGCCG